GACGAACGCUGGCGGCGUGCUUAACACAUGCAAGUCGAGCGACGCUCUUCCUUCGGGGAGAUGACGGAGCGGCGAACGGGUGAGUAACACGUGGGCAACCUGCCCCUAGCUCUGGGACAACACCGGGAAACCGGUGCUAAUACCGGAUACGACAUCGAGCGGCAUCUCUCGAUGUGGAAAGUUUUUUCGGCUAGGGAUGGGCCCGCGGCCUAUCAGCUUGUUGGUGGGGUAAUGGCCCACCAAGGCGACGACGGGUAGCCGGCCUGAGAGGGCGACCGGCCACACUGGGACUGAGACACGGCCCAGACUCCUACGGGAGGCAGCAGUGGGGAAUAGUGCGCAAUGGGCGAAAGCCUGACGCAGCGACGCCGCGUGAGGGAGGACGGCCUUCGGGUUGGAAACCUCUUUCAGCAGGGACGAAUUCAGACGGUACCUGCAGAAGAAGCACCGGCAAACUACGUG
This 462-nucleotide ribosomal RNA is filed under the name uncultured bacterium. Its description in RNAcentral is "partial 16S ribosomal RNA". It matches the Rfam family "Bacterial small subunit ribosomal RNA", at positions 28 to 507 of the family's 1533-position model. The record is from RNAcentral.